This 499-nucleotide ribosomal RNA is filed under the name uncultured bacterium. RNAcentral describes it as "partial 16S ribosomal RNA". It matches the Rfam family "Bacterial small subunit ribosomal RNA", at positions 28 to 507 of the family's 1533-position model. The record is from RNAcentral.
GACGAACGCUGGCGGCGUGCCUAAUACAUGCAAGUCGAGCGAAGUUUUUCUGGUGCUUGCACCGGAAAAACUUAGCGGCGAACGGGUGGGUAACACGUAAAGAACCUGCCUCAUAGACUGGGACAACUAUUGGAAACGAUAGCUAAUACCGGAUAAUAGCAUUAACUGCAUGGUUGAUGUUUAAAAGUUGGUUUUGCUAACACUAUGAGAUGGCUUUGCGGUGCAUUAGCUAGUUGGUGGGGUAAAGGCCUACCAAGGCGACGAUGCAUAGCCGACCUGAGAGGGUGAUCGGCCACACUGGGACUGAGACACGGCCCAGACUCCUACGGGAGGCAGCAGUAGGGAAUCUUCCGCAAUGGGCGAAAGCCUGACGGAGCAACGCCGCGUGAGUGAAGAAGGAUUUCGGUUCGUAAAGCUCUGUUGUUAGGGAAGAAUGAUUGUGUAGUAACUAUACACAGUAGAGACGGUACCUAACCAGAAAGCCACGGCUAACUACGUG